UGCGGGGGCCGAGGAAGUGGGGCGGCCCCGGCGAUGCCCCCGCCCCGCUGCGUCCGGGCGUCGGAGGCGACGGCGGCGCAGGUCCCGCGCACGUGAGGGGCGCACGGAGCCCCCAGCGCAGCCGGGAUCGGCCUCGGACCCCGGACAGGUGCCACUGAGCUCUGCAGGGGAGGCGGCCUCUUUCACGGAGCCACUUCCGGGGUCUUCAUGCAGCCAUGGAUCUGGAUAAACCCUCCGUCUGGGGCUCCUUCAAACAGCGGACCAGGCCUUUGCUGCUCAACCUGAGCAAAAAGAAGGUGAAGAAGCACCCCGACAAACCCCCAGACUUAGGGGAGCGGCAUUGCCUGGAUCGCCGCCUCAGCCUCUCGGUCCCUGACCUCCUGGGGGCCCAGUCGUCCUACACCUCCGUGCCCAGCAGCCUGUCCACGGCAGGGAUCGUGUCCAAGAGCUGCAGCAGCUCCUUGAAACAGUCGGAAGAAGAGCUGGACUGGAGCCAGGAAGAGGCAGGCCACCUGCACGCGGCGGAUACGGACUCUGAGGAGACCUUCGCCUCGCCGGCCGCGGACAGGAGGGCUUCCAGCAAUGGCCUCUUUGAUCUGCUCCAGAAGGCGCCCCCGGGAGAGAAUGCUCUGGAGGAUCCAGAGAAGCUCUGUGGAAGUGGUGAUCUCAAUGCGUCUACAACGUCCCAGCAGUUUGAAGAACAGUCUACCCUCGGGGAAGCCAGUGACGGCGUGAGCAACCUGCCCAGCCCCUUCGCCUACCUCCUCACCAUCCACCUGAAGGAGGGCCGGAACCUGGUCAUCCGGGACCGCUGCGGCACCAGCGAUCCCUACGUGAAAUUUAAGCUGAACGGGAAGACGCUGUACAAAAGUAAAGUCAUAUAUAAGAACUUGAACCCCGUCUGGGAUGAGAUCGUUGUCUUGCCCAUACAGAGCCUUGAUCAGAAGCUCCGUGUGAAGGUAUAUGAUCGAGAUUUAACUACAUCUGAUUUCAUGGGCUCUGCGUUUGUCAUCCUCAGCGAACUUGAGCUGAACAGAACGACUGAACAUAUUUUAAAAUUGGAAGACCCGAACAGUUUAGAAGACGACAUGGGAGUGAUUGUGUUAAAUCUGAACCUCGUCGUGAAACAGGGUGACUUUAAGAGACAUCGUUGGUCGAAUCGCAAGCGGAUAAGUGGAAGCAAGUCCUCGGUGAUCCGCAGCCUCCGGCUCUCAGAGGCCUUGAGGAAGAACCAGCUCUGGGACGGGACCAUAAGCAUCGCGUUGCUGGAAGGAAAGAACGUCUCGGUGGGAAAUGUGGCAGAGAUGUUUGUCCUGUUAAAACUGGGCGAUCAGAGGUACAAAAGCAAGACACUGUGUAAGAGUGCACAUCCGCAGUGGCGGGAAGAGUUUGACUUUCACUACUUCUCUGACAGGAUGGGCAUCUUGGACAUUGAGGUCUGGGGAAAGGACGGCAAAAAGCACGAGGAGCGACUGGGCACAUGUAAAGUGGACAUCGCCUCGCUCCCACUCAAGCAAGCCAACUGCUUAGAGCUGCCCCUGGACAGCUGCCUGGGGGCCCUCCUGGUGCUGAUCACGCUGACGCCCUGCGGGGGGGUCUCCAUGUCCGACCCUUGUGUGUGCCCCUUGGCGGACCCCAGCGAGAGGAAGCAGAUCACCCAGCGCUAUUGUUUGCAGAACUCCCUGAAAGACAUGAAGGACAUCGGCAUUUUACAAGUGAAGGUUUUAAAGGCUGUGGACCUCUUAGCUGCUGACUUCUCAGGGAAGAGCGACCCUUUCUGCUUGUUGGAGUUGGGCAAUGACCGGCUGCAGACGCACACCAUCUACAAGACCCUCAACCCCGAGUGGAACAAAGUUUUCACGUUCCGUGUUAAAGACGUCCACGAUGCUUUGGAAGUGACAGUGUUUGAUGAGGACGGCGACAAACCCCCGGAUUUCCUUGGGAAAGUCUCCAUUCCCUUGCUGUCCAUUCGAGAUGGACAAACGAAUUGCUACGUAUUGAAGAAUAAAGAUUUAGAACAAGCUUUUAAAGGGGUCAUUUACUUGGAGAUGGAUCUCAUCUAUAAUCCGGUCAAAGCCAGUAUCAGGACCUUUACGCCCAGGGAAAAGCGCUUUGUGGAAGACAGCCGCAAGCUGUCCAAAAAGAUCUUAUCCAGAGAUGUGGACCGCGUGAAAAGGAUCACCAUGGCGAUAUGGAAUACACUCCAGUUCCUGAAAAGCUGCUUCCAGUGGGAGUCCACGCUGAGGAGCUCCAUCGCGUUUGUGGUGUUCCUGGCCACGGUGUGGAAUUUUGAGCUGUACAUGAUCCCCCUGGCGUUGCUGCUGCUCUUUGCCUAUAAUUUCAUCGAACCCACGAAAGGGAAGGCGAGCAGCACCCACGACUCCCAGGAGAGCACGGAAGUCGAUGACGAGGAGGAUGAAGAUGACAAGGAAUCCGAGAAAAAGGGCAUCAUCGAAAGAAUCUACAUGGUACAGGACAUCGUUUCCACAGUCCAGAACAUCUUGGAGGAAGUAGCUUCCUUUGGAGAAAGAAUUAAAAACACGUUUAACUGGACGGUGCCGUUCCUUUCAUUCCUGGCCUGUGUGGUGCUGGCGGUCGCCACCGUCACGCUGUACUUCGUCCCACUUCGGUACCUCGUGUUAAUCUGGGGCAUCAAUAAAUUUACUAAGAAGUUCCGAAAUCCCUAUGCCAUCGACAAUAACGAGCUACUAGACUUCCUCUCCAGGGUACCGUCUGAUGUUCAAAAGGUGCAGUACGCGGAGCUGAGGCCGUGCAGCAGCCAGAGCCCCCUUCGCAAGAAGCGCAGUGGGCUCUAGGACCCGCGCCGCCCGUGGCCGCCAGCACCCCGUUCUGGGUUUGGGCGAUGGGGCCCAGGGUAUGGCUCUCUCGGUGGCACCGCGGUCAGUGCCGUUCGGACACACGUGUCAUAUGGUGCCCUGCCUGUCGUCUCCCCGCUUCUUCAAGUGCACAGAUGCACACACGCACACGGGGACGUGCACACGCGUGGAUGUCCUAGCGGCACAGCGGGCCAGCCCAGCAGGAGGAGGCGAUCCGGAGACUGAAAGACUCACAUCCCUUCUCCUGGAGGAGAGAAAGCAAGGCUGCCGCGGGGCUGAACAGCCAGGAGACCCCUCACAUUCGAGAGGGACUUUGAACUUGUGCUCACACCUCCAGCGGCCGGUUCCCGUGAGGAUUCCCUCAUUUUUGCUCCCCACCCCCACGCUCCUUUCCCAUGAUGGUUCCUGUGAGUCCGUUGUUUUUUUCCCCUCUGAGCUAACACGUCUUUGAUAGAUACCAUCUACCCAAGGAACGCAUCUUAUCAACAGACUAGAGGCCUGAUGGAUGAAAUCUGUGCAAGAGUAGGCCUUCCCAGCUGUGGCAGCUGCCGCCAUCCCUCCCUCACAGCCGAGGCGGCUACAGCCCCAGCUUGGUCCGGAAGGACGUCCGGAAGGAUGUCCAGUCUAAUUAGCAUACUAUGCUUUUGUUAUUAUAGAUUUUUCAGUAAUGAUCAGGAUUAGCCCUGAUCCUUGGGGAAGCGUUCAGCCGUGAUUCCUGAAGAUCUGUAUGCCAAAUCUCAGUCAAGUCCCCGGCGCUGGGAGCCAUCCUGCCUCACCCCCGUUGCUGGCAAUGGGUGCCAGGAAGGUCAAAAGGGAACACUCGUCCCAAAAGUGAAGGGUUCCUGCAAGUAUUUGGGUGUCUUAAAGCACCAUUUCUUCCGAUUGUACUAUGUGCUUAUUUCCGAACUAAAAUGUCCAUGUGACGGCUUCAGGAAAGGGGACGGAAUGAAUGAGGCAAAGAAGGAAGGAAUGAACUCAAGAGUACUUAGGUCAAGGCCUGGGAGCAAGGGAUGAACAUGAGGCUGCUUACCCAAGGGCCAUCAUCACCUCAUUUGCUCGCAUUUUUGAGCAGAAAGUGAAGAUAUUUUAGCAGCCCCAGCUGAUCAUUUGUUCCUCGUAAGGGUACAAUAAGUUACCCGAGAUAAAAAUACAUCUCUCAGCCCUUUUCCUAGAAAAGUACCACUUCCAUCAAGAGUCCCCGAUUCCUGCCGGCCCCAGCAUUUCACAGUAACCUCCCCCCGUAAAAGUUCCAAUUUUGUGCACAUAUGUAAUCUGAAAAUUUCUUCUCAAGCGACAUAAUUUCAAAAUGAAAUAACACUGCCUGACCAGAAGGCAUCGUCAGCUAGACCUGCUUCCUCUGCAGCCCCCCGACUGGAAUUCUCAGCGUCAAGUUUAGGCCACCACCGGCCACUGGGACGCUGGGCCGAAUCAACCCUUAAAAGCUGCCUGUGGAAAACAGUUGUUAAUCGAUUAAGUAGACACUGGACGCAAAAGCGGAAUGGGAGUUGUAAGUGCAAUGCGAAGGUUUUUGUAAGUCACCAGGAAUUUGUAUGGGGCCGGCCUAUGAACCAGGAGGUCAGGGUUCAAUUCCUCGUCAGGGCACAUGCCCAGGUUGCAAGCUCGAUUCCCCAGUGUGGGGCGUGCAGGAGGCAGCCGAUCCAUGAUUCUCUCUCAUCGUCGAGGUCUCUCUCUCUCUCUCUCUCUCACCCUCUUCCACUCUUUGAAAUCAAUAAAAACAAGAAAAAAAACAGGAAAGAGAACCAAUGAAAAUAAACACUUAAAAUUGUGUAAGAGCUGGGAGUAAUUUUCCACAAUAAACCAAAGAGACGGGUCCCACGCCAUCUUACUAUGUGUGAAAUUCAGUUUAGUCAAUCGUCAGCUUUUAAAGAUUUUUUUUUUUUAUCAGUACUAACUGAUCACCUACUAAAGCAUUAAAAAGGCUUCUACGCUGUCUUUACAAGAGAAGAAAGGCACUUAAAACAGGAAGACAAAUGGCUUCUUAGAAAGGGAAGGAGGUCCCAAUGGCUCAUGGGAACGCAAAUGACUUUUAGGGAAAGCAGGUGUGUCCUUAGAAUACAGAGAGGAUGGUUGCGAGGCAAUAUCUGUUUAGGUGCAAUGUUUUCUUGUUGUCUCGGGUGAUGACAGUCUAUCUUCCCAGGUUGCUGUUGGAAUUUAAACAACUGAGUUCCUUUGGGAGGCUCUACUUUUAUUCAGAUAAAGGAAUUCGGGGUGGGGAGGGGAUUCCGCUAUCUUGAUUCUCAAAUGCGUUCGGCUCAAAAUAAUUUCAUGGACUCCUUCCAUAAGCCAUGUCUGCAGACACACAUCCAUGUUUGUAAAAUUACAUAUCUCUCAAAAUUGGUCCACGGACUCCAACUCAAAACCUGUGGGCUCAGGCAAAACAUUCAACGUUAACCUCUUGCUGCAUUUGAAACCUCAGGGUGAAGAAAGAAUGUUUUCCGGAAGCCCAGUGUCAUUGGCCUGCGCCCUCCCAGAAUUCACUCAUUUAUUAUUUAAUCAAGCUUUUCUCUGGGAAAUAUUUUAUUAGGCCUGUCUUUGUAGCUGAGAAACCCUGAGAUUUGUUUCUCUCCCUGUUCCUUUAAUUCAUUAUGAUAAUACAUACAAGCCCUGCCUUUGCAUGUAUUUGCUUUACUAGAUCAAAACAAUGGUCAGGAAAGUUAAAACACAUGAAAUCAUUUGUUGAACUGCCUAACAGAUAGCUCUAGCCUGACUGAUUUCGCAUGCAUCCAUCAGAUUUCAAUCUGGCAGUGGUAAUUUUGACCUACUUAAUGGUUAAGGCUUGCCUUGAAUUUGUUUUUAUUUUUUAUAUUUUUACUCCCAAAAGGCCGGCAUAAGCCGAAGUGGUCCAGCCACAAAAAAAAAAA
This is an RNA transcript of Myotis myotis, 5719 nucleotides long. It is a transcript of the gene named multiple C2 and transmembrane domain containing 2, with no coding region annotated. The transcript has 24 exons. NCBI's taxonomy places the organism in Eukaryota, Metazoa, Chordata, Mammalia, Chiroptera, Vespertilionidae. The record is from RefSeq and is a predicted model, not a curated record.